RNAcentral lists this unclassified non-coding RNA (375 nucleotides) under uncultured bacterium. Its description in RNAcentral is "contains 16S-23S intergenic spacer region". The record is from RNAcentral.
UCCGGUUUGUCACCGGCAGUCUCAUUAGAGUGCUCAACUGAAUGUAGCAACUAAUGACAAGGGUUGCGCUCGUUGCGGGACUUAACCCAACAUCUCACGGCACGAGCUGACGACAGCCAUGCACCACCUGUGACAGUGCCCCGAAGGGAAAGUGUGUUUCCACACCGGUCACUGACAUGUCAAGCCCAGGUAAGGUUCUUCGCGUUGCGUCGAAUUAAACCACAUGCUCCGCUGCUUGUGCGGGCCCCCGUCAAUUCCUUUGAGUUUUAGCCUUGCGGCCGUACUCCCCAGGCGGGGCACUUAGUGCGUUAGCGCCGGCACCGACGGGAUCAAGACCGCCGGCACCUAGUGCCCAUCGUUUACAGCGUGGACUAC